This 713-nucleotide ribosomal RNA is filed under the name Pholcus phalangioides (longbodied cellar spider). Its description in RNAcentral is "eukaryotic LSU rRNA". It matches the Rfam family "Eukaryotic large subunit ribosomal RNA", at positions 353 to 941 of the family's 3401-position model. Lineage: Eukaryota; Metazoa; Arthropoda; Arachnida; Araneae; Pholcidae. The record is from RNAcentral.
GUGAGGGAAAGUUGAAAAGGACUUUGAAGAGAGAGUUCAAGAGUGCGUGAAACUGCUCGGAGGCAAACGGGUGGGCCCUCGAACGGUCCUCGCCCGAUGGUUCGGUCGGAGAGGCGCGAGCCCGUUGGCGAGGCGGGUUCCGUAAAGGACCCCUCCGCUUUCGUGGCGCUCGAGUCUUCCGGUGCAUUCCAUCCGGUAUGGACGUCGCAGCCGGUUGGGCGUGGUCAGCCUGAAGAGCGGGCUACGGCAGGUGGCAGUGGAGUCUCCCCGCUGUGUCUAGCCGGCUCGUUCGUGGCGUGAUCCCCGACCGAGGAUGACGUCUUCCUCUUUGGGAGAUUUGCCGUGCUCUCGCCUCUGCGAGCGGGAUUUCCCGCGGUGAGCGUACGCGGCUGGCGACAUCGGUCACCCACCCGACCCGUCUUGAAACACGGACCAAGGAGUCUAACAUGUGCGCGAGUCAGUGGGACUCGAACAAGCCCACGGGCAGAGCGAAAGCGAUCGGUCGGGAUCCGCACUGCUCGCAGUGUGGCGCACCGACGGCCCGACGCCUGUAUAGGCGAUCGGAGCGUGAGCGUACACGUUGGGACCCGAAAGACGGUGAACUAUUCCCGGGUAGGAUGAAGCCGGGGGAAACUCCGGUGGAGGUCCGCAGCGGUUCUGACGUGCAAUUCGAUCGUCGAACCCGGGUAUAGGGGCGAAAGACUAAUCGAACC